RNAcentral lists this ribosomal RNA (522 nucleotides) under uncultured bacterium. RNAcentral's name for it is "bacterial SSU rRNA". It matches the Rfam family "Bacterial small subunit ribosomal RNA", at positions 987 to 1509 of the family's 1533-position model. The record is from RNAcentral.
UCCACGGAAUUUGGCAGAGAUGCCUUAGUGCCUUCGGGAACCGUGAGACAGGUGCUGCAUGGCUGUCGUCAGCUCGUGUUGUGAAAUGUUGGGUUAAGUCCCGCAACGAGCGCAACCCUUAUCCUUUGUUGCCAGCGGCUCGGCCGGGAACUCAAAGGAGACUGCCGGUGAUAAACCGGAGGAAGGUGGGGAUGACGUCAAGUCAUCAUGGCCCUUACGGCCAGGGCUACACACGUGCUACAAUGGCGCAUACAAAGAGAAGCGACCUCGCGAGAGCAAGCGGACCUCAUAAAGUGCGUCGUAGUCCGGAUUGGAGUCUGCAACUCGACUCCAUGAAGUCGGAAUCGCUAGUAAUCGUAGAUCAGAAUGCUACGGUGAAUACGUUCCCGGGCCUUGUACACACCGCCCGUCACACCAUGGGAGUGGGUUGCAAAAGAAGUAGGUAGCUUAACCUUCGGGAGGGCGCUUACCACUUUGUGAUUCAUGACUGGGGUGAAGUCGUAACAAGGUAGGCGUAGAUGA